RNAcentral lists this transfer RNA (71 nucleotides) under Stercorarius maccormicki (South polar skua). Its description in RNAcentral is "tRNA-Phe". It matches the Rfam family "tRNA". Rfam says of the family: Transfer RNA (tRNA) molecules are approximately 80 nucleotides in length. Their secondary structure includes four short double-helical elements and three loops (D, anti-codon, and T loops). The record is from RNAcentral. Lineage: Eukaryota; Metazoa; Chordata; Aves; Charadriiformes; Stercorariidae.
GUCCCUAUAGCUUAUCAGCUAAAGCAUGGCACUGAAGAUGCCAAGAUGGUUACUACACGUACCUGGGGACA